Molecule: ribosomal RNA, 343 nt
Filed under: Palimbolus victoriae
Lineage: Eukaryota; Metazoa; Arthropoda; Insecta; Coleoptera; Staphylinidae
Description: partial 12S ribosomal RNA
Source: RNAcentral
UUAAUUAGUAUUAGUUAUAUUCUUAAAAAUUAAAUAAUUUGGCAGUAUUAUAAUCUUUUCAGAGGAACCUGUUCUAUAAUUGAUAUUCCACGAUAAAUUGUACUUAUUUUAGAAAUUUGUAUAUCGUUGUUUUUGAAUUUUUUAUUAGAAUUUAAAUAUUCAAUAUUUUAAAAUUAAAAUAUAAAUCAGAUCAAGAUGCAGUUUAUAUCUAAGAAAGUAAUGGGUUACAUUAAUUUUUAAUUAUAGUUUAAUAAAUUAAAAUUAUUAUUAAAUUGGAUUUGAAAGUAAUUUUUUUAUUUAAAUAAAAUGAUUUUAGUUUUAUAAUAUGUACACAUCGCCCGUC